UCGAGAAUUUUUCUCAAUGGGGGAAACCCUGAAGGAGCGACGCCGCGUGGAGGAUGAAGGUCUUCGGGUUGUAAACUCCUGUCAUUUGGGAACAAGUCGUACGUAGUAACUAUACGUGCGUUGAUAGUACCAGAAGAGGAAGAGACGGCUAACUCUGUGCCAGCAGCCGCGGUAAUACAGAGGUCUCAAGCGUUGUUCGGAUUCAUUGGGCGUAAAGGGUGCGUAGGUGGCGUCGUAAGUCGGGUGUGAAAUUUCGGAGCUUAACUCCGAAACUGCAUUCGAUACUGCGGUGCUUGAGGACUGGAGAGGAGACUGGAAUUUACGGUGUAGCAGUGAAAUGCGUAGAGAUCGUAAGGAAGACCAGUGGCGAAGGCGGGUCUCUGGACAGUUCCUGACACUGAGGCACGAAGGCCAGGGGAGCAAACG
RNAcentral lists this ribosomal RNA (426 nucleotides) under uncultured bacterium. RNAcentral describes it as "bacterial SSU rRNA". It matches the Rfam family "Bacterial small subunit ribosomal RNA", at positions 355 to 774 of the family's 1533-position model. The record is from RNAcentral.